AAGGAGACUGCCGGUGACAAACCGGAGGAAGGUGGGGAUGACGUCAAGUCAUCAUGGCCCUUACGGCCUGGGCUACACACGUGCUACAAUGGUCGGUACAAAGGGUUGCCAAGCCGCGAGGUGGAGCUAAUCCCAUAAAACCGAUCGUAGUCCGGGAUCGCAGUCUGCAACUCGGACUGCGUGAAGUCGGAAUCGCUAGUAAUCGUGAAUCAGAAUGUCACGGUGAAUACGUUCCCGGGCCUU
RNAcentral lists this ribosomal RNA (243 nucleotides) under uncultured Pseudomonas sp. RNAcentral describes it as "partial 16S ribosomal RNA". It matches the Rfam family "Bacterial small subunit ribosomal RNA", at positions 1142 to 1382 of the family's 1533-position model. The record is from RNAcentral. Lineage: Bacteria; Pseudomonadati; Pseudomonadota; Gammaproteobacteria; Pseudomonadales; Pseudomonadaceae.